AACGAACGUUGGCGGCGUGGAUUAGGCAUGCAAGUUGAGCGAAUCCCGCAAGGGGGAAGCAGCGUAAGGGGCAGUAAUGCGUGGGUAUCUACCCUGGGGUCUGGCAUAGCCCUUCGAGAGAAGGGGUAAUUCCAGAUGACGUCGUGAGACCAAAGGUCCGCCGCCCCGGGAGGAGCCCACGUGAUAUUACCUAGUUGGCGGGGUAACGGCCCACCAAGGGGAAGAUGUCUAGCGGGUGUGAGAGCACGACCCGCGCCACUGGCACUGAGACACUGGCCAGACACCUACGGGUGGCUGCAGUCGAGGAUCUUCGGCAAUGGGCGCAAGCCUGACCGAGCGACGCCGGGUGUGCGAUGAAGGCCUUCGGGUUGUAAAGCACUGUCGAGGGGGAGAAAGGCGAAAGCUUGAUCUAUCCCUGGAGGAAGCACGGGCUAAGUUCGUGCCAGCAGCCGCCGUAAGAC
This 461-nucleotide ribosomal RNA is filed under the name uncultured bacterium. Its description in RNAcentral is "bacterial SSU rRNA". It matches the Rfam family "Bacterial small subunit ribosomal RNA", at positions 28 to 526 of the family's 1533-position model. The record is from RNAcentral.